Non-coding RNA from Cordylochernes scorpioides, 68 nucleotides. The record is from the annotation of a GenBank genome assembly. Lineage: Eukaryota; Metazoa; Arthropoda; Arachnida; Pseudoscorpiones; Chernetidae.
UGUUUCUGCCAGGACUCGAAACUGGGAACUUCCGCGUGUUAGACGAAUAUGAUAACCACUAUACAACC